Molecule: small RNA, 828 nt
Filed under: Histoplasma capsulatum var. duboisii H88
Lineage: Eukaryota; Fungi; Ascomycota; Eurotiomycetes; Onygenales; Ajellomycetaceae
Description: Histoplasma capsulatum H88 hypothetical RNA
Source: RNAcentral
GCCCACCCUAGGUAAAACAAUUAGACCCCCCUCCAUGAACCGAGUGUUGGUGAAGUUCGUUCCUUGCCCGCGGACCAAAGUUGGAUCAUUUUCUGGAUCAGGCGAGUCAUGGUGCCAAUAUAUGGGUCACGCAUAGUUUUGUUUGCAGUGAGAAGAGAAGUGCGGCGGCCAGCAUAGCACCUCAAGUUGCGCAAGAGCACAGCGGAAUCGACGAAUUGGUUGGCAUGAGGGGCAGCGACAAUUAUCACCGGCCCGCUUUUGGGGAUGCGCCAUGCGCCUCGGGAGCAGAUCUCGCGGAGGAAGAUAUCGAGACAUAGAGCAAAAAUCCAUAUCCCGAGGUCAUAAACCCAAGAUACCCUGUAACUCUGGGUCAUGACGAACAGGAAGGCUAGGGCACUCAGCACCUAGCUGGAGGACAAAUGGAACGGCCAGCUGCAAUAUUAGAUCUGCGCUCAGAAUACAAUUAGGGCGAGGAGUUGGCGAUGCUUCUUAUGAGAGGGAAGGGUUGCCCCCUCCCCCACACCCAGGCUUGUUGGGGGCUCAACAAUCUAAAAUAAUAAUAUGUCCCUUGAUGUAUGUAUGUAUGUAUUGGUUUAGUGUCCUGGGGAGGCACAGGCAGCACCUGUGCCUCAAGGGCCUCCUGAAGGACAUGGGGAUGUGCCACACUGGAGAAAUUUCUAUAUACAUAUAGAAAGAAGAGAAACAGGAUCCAGAUGGCAACUCUUGAGAAGACUCAGCUCAUUGAGCUGCUCAUCCACUGCUGGCCUGAUGUAUGGCCAUUUAUAGUGAAGCUAUAAGAUGACUUUCUAGAUGAGAUCACUGCUGCUG